RNAcentral lists this ribosomal RNA (492 nucleotides) under uncultured bacterium. Its description in RNAcentral is "partial 16S ribosomal RNA". It matches the Rfam family "Bacterial small subunit ribosomal RNA", at positions 29 to 507 of the family's 1533-position model. The record is from RNAcentral.
AGUGAACGCUGGCGGUAGGCCUAACACAUGCAAGUUGAACGGCAGCACAGUAAGAGCUUGCUCUUACGGGUGGCGAGUGGCGGACGGGUGAGGAAUACAUCGGAAUCUACUUUUUCGUGGGGGAUAACGUAGGGAAACUUACGCUAAUACCGCAUACGACCUACGGGUGAAAGCAGGGGAUCUUCGGACCUUGCGCGAUUGAAUGAGCCGAUGUCGGAUUAGCUAGUUGGCGGGGUAAAGGCCCACCAAGGCGACGAUCCGUAGCUGGUCUGAGAGGAUGAUCAGCCACACUGGAACUGAGACGCGGUCCAGACUCCUACGGGAGGCAGCAGUGGGGAAUAUUGGACAAUGGGCGCAAGCCUGAUCCAGCCAUACCGCGUGGGUGAAGAAGGCCUUCGGGUUGUAAAGCCCUUUUGUUGGGAAAGAAAAGCAGCAGGUUAAUACCCCGCUGUUCUGACGGUACCCAAAGAAUAAGCACCGGCUAACUUCGUG